This is a long non-coding RNA of Fukomys damarensis (Damara mole-rat), 535 nucleotides long. RefSeq lists it as uncharacterized. The record is from RefSeq and is a predicted model, not a curated record. The transcript has 3 exons. NCBI's taxonomy places the organism in Eukaryota, Metazoa, Chordata, Mammalia, Rodentia, Bathyergidae.
GUGACUCAUCAAUUUGAUGUCAUGACCCAUUGAUGGGCUGUAGCACAGUUUUCCAAACCUUGAAUGAGCAUUUUCAUUUUCAAGCCAACAAAUCGAGGUUCGGAGAGAUUUUCUCAAGAUCACAGCAGAGCUGGUACAGAAACCCAAAGGUUCUCCUCAGUAAAAGGGAGCUCUCAUAUUUCUGGACAGCAAAACUCCUACAUGCCCUCCAGUAGCCGUGGAGCACAUCACAAGGCACAGGGUGUGCUAACAGGUUUGCUGAUGACAGCAGCAGGAUCCUACCACCUCUGGGCCUCUGACAGGGAAGUGCACCUGAGCAGGAUCUUACCUUGGAGAACCAGACCUUCUGCCUCGAUGGUGUAGACAAACGAAGUGAAGGCAGCCAAAGGGGACUUGGCAAUGAGAAUCUGCACAUAAAGCAUAUUUGGCCAGAGUGAGACAAAUGAUCAGGGCAAGAGCCAGUUCCAACCACGUGGCUGCAAGCAACAAACAUCCUGGAGAUGACGAAACGGAAGAAAAAAGCUGGGUAGCCUCA